RNAcentral lists this ribosomal RNA (39 nucleotides) under Polylepis hieronymi. RNAcentral's name for it is "partial 26S ribosomal RNA". The record is from RNAcentral. Lineage: Eukaryota; Viridiplantae; Streptophyta; Magnoliopsida; Rosales; Rosaceae.
CGCGACCCCAGGUCAGGCGGGGUUACCCGCUGAAUUUUA